GGGCUUCUAAACCCUAACUCCUAAUAGGACUCUUACUUAAGACUCUUACUUCUAACCAACUCCUAAUAGGACUCCUACUCAAGACUCUUACUUCUAACCAACUCCUAAUAGGACUCCUACUCAAGACUUCUAUUCCUUUACAACUCCUUAUUCUUCUCUAAGAAAUAACCUCCUAACCCUAGUUGGCCACUUCACCUCUUUAAUAGGGGUCGGCUUAGGUAGGUUUUACAUGAAUGUCCCUCUC
Molecule: long non-coding RNA, 244 nt
Filed under: Musa acuminata (dwarf banana)
Lineage: Eukaryota; Viridiplantae; Streptophyta; Magnoliopsida; Zingiberales; Musaceae
Description: long non-coding RNA (MACU_LNC010665)
Source: RNAcentral